Molecule: ribosomal RNA, 273 nt
Filed under: uncultured bacterium
Lineage: Bacteria
Description: partial 16S ribosomal RNA
Rfam family: Bacterial small subunit ribosomal RNA
Source: RNAcentral
GACGAACCGUGCGAACGUUGUUCGGAUUCACUGGGCUUAAAGGGCGCGUAGGCGGCCGACCAAGUCGGGGGUGAAAUCUUUCCGCUCAACGGGAAAAUAGCCUCCGAUACUGGCCGGCUCGAGGGAGAUAGGGGUGCGCGGAACUUCCGGUGGAGCGGUGAAAUGCGUAGAUAUCGGAAGGAACGCCGGUGGCGAAAGCGGCGCACUGGAUCUCUACUGACGCUGAGGCGCGAAAGCCAGGGGAGCAAACGGGAUUAGAAACCCCAGUAGUCC